RNAcentral lists this ribosomal RNA (1343 nucleotides) under uncultured bacterium. RNAcentral's name for it is "16S ribosomal RNA". It matches the Rfam family "Bacterial small subunit ribosomal RNA", at positions 28 to 1378 of the family's 1533-position model. The record is from RNAcentral.
GACGAACGCUGGCGGCGUGCUUAACACAUGCAAGUCGAACGGAAAGGCCCUGCUUUUGUGGGGUGCUCGAGUGGCGAACGGGUGAGUAACACGUGAGUAACCUGCCCUUGACUUUGGGAUAACUUCAGGAAACUGGGGCUAAUACCGGAUAGGAGCUCCUGCUGCAUGGUGGGGGUUGGAAAGUUUCGGCGGUUGGGGAUGGACUCGCGGCUUAUCAGCUUGUUGGUGGGGUAGUGGCUUACCAAGGCUUUGACGGGUAGCCGGCCUGAGAGGGUGACCGGCCACAUUGGGACUGAGAUACGGCCCAGACUCCUACGGGAGGCAGCAGUGGGGAAUAUUGCACAAUGGGCGGAAGCCUGAUGCAGCAACGCCGCGUGCGGGAUGACGGCCUUCGGGUUGUAAACCGCUUUCGCCUGUGACGAAGCGUGAGUGACGGUAAUGGGUAAAGAAGCACCGGCUAACUACGUGCCAGCAGCCGCGGUGAUACGUAGGGUGCGAGCGUUGUCCGGAUUUAUUGGGCGUAAAGGGCUCGUAGGUGGUUGAUCGCGUCGGAAGUGUAAUCUUGGGGCUUAACCCUGAGCGUGCUUUCGAUACGGGUUGACUUGAGGAAGGUAGGGGAGAAUGGAAUUCCUGGUGGAGCGGUGGAAUGCGCAGAUAACAGGAGGAACACCAGUGGCGAAGGCGGUUCUCUGGGCCUUUCCUGACGCUGAGGAGCGAAAGCGUGGGGAGCGAACAGGCUUAGGUACCCUGGUAGUCCACGCUGUAAACGGUGGGUACUAGGUGUGGGGUCCAUUCCACGGGUUCCGUGCCGUAGCUAACGCUUUAAGUACCCCGCCUGGGGAGUACGGCCGCAAGGCUAAAACUCAAAGGAAUUGACGGGGCCCCGCACAAGCGGCGGAGCAUGCGGAUUAAUUCGAUGCAACGCGUAGAACCUUACCUGGGUUUGACAUGGAUCGGGAGUGCUCAGAGAUGGGUGUGCCUCUUUUGGGGUCGGUUCACAGGUGGUGCAUGGCUGUCGUCAGCUCGUGUCGUGAGAUGUUGGGUUAAGUCCCGCAACGAGCGCAACCCUUGUUCACUGUUGCCAGCACGUUAUGGUGGGGACUCAGUGGAGACCGCCGGGGUCAACUCGGAGGAAGGUGGGGAUGACGUCAAGUCAUCAUGCCCCUUAUGUCCAGGGCUUCACGCAUGCUACAAUGGCUGGUACAGAGAGUGGCGAGCCUGUGAGGGUGAGCGAAUCUCGGAAAGCCGGUCUCAGUUCGGAUUGGGGUCUGCAACUCGACCUCAUGAAGUCGGAGUCGCUAGUAAUCGCAGAUCAGCAACGCUGCGGUGAAUACGUUCCCGGG